Molecule: long non-coding RNA, 467 nt
Filed under: Nicotiana benthamiana
Lineage: Eukaryota; Viridiplantae; Streptophyta; Magnoliopsida; Solanales; Solanaceae
Description: long non-coding RNA (NBEN_LNC038822)
Source: RNAcentral
UUUGUUGAUUGCAAGCAGAGACAUCAGAAAGGGAGAGAGGCUAUAUUAUGAUUAUAAUGGUUAUGAGAAUGAAUAUCCAACAGAGCACUUCGUCUGACCUCAUAGGAUCCAAAGAUCUGUUUACUAUACAGAUUUUUGUUUAACUGAUUUGUCCAGUUUUUGCGUCUGACCUCGUAGGAUCCAAAGAUCUGUUUACCCUACAGAUUUUUGUAUUAACUGAUUUGUCCAGUUUUUGUUUCUAAUAUUUUUUAAUUUAUCGACACAACUCAAUGCUCUGUAAACACAGCGGCAGGGUGGAGGGCAAUGAUUUUGUCUUGGGUACAGCAAAUGCAAAAGAUCCAUAGUUUUUUGGUCUAAUUGUCCAUUCUGACAUUUCUACCUUUAAUAUAGUUUUUGGCCUCGUGAAGAUGUGAAGCUUCUGUGUAUACACAUAUUAGCUAUAUGGCGUUGAUUUAUCGUGUACAUCC